RNAcentral lists this ribosomal RNA (595 nucleotides) under uncultured archaeon. RNAcentral describes it as "bacterial SSU rRNA". It matches the Rfam family "Archaeal small subunit ribosomal RNA", at positions 229 to 824 of the family's 1478-position model. The record is from RNAcentral.
GUAGUAGUGGGUGUAGCGUACCUACUAGCCUACGACGGGUACGGGUUGUGAGAGCAAGAGCCCGGAGAUGGAUUCUGAGACACGAAUCCAGGCCCUACGGGGUGCAGCAGGCGCGAAAACUUUACAAUGCUGGCAACAGCGAUAAGGGAACCUCGAGUGCCAGGUUACAAAUCUGGCUGUCGAGAUGCCUAAAAAGCAUUGCAUAGCAAGGGCCGGGCAAGACCGGUGCCAGCCGCCGCGGUAACACCGGCGGCUCGAGUGGUAACCGUUAUUAUUGGGUCUAAAGGGUCUGUAGCCGGCCGGAUAAGUCUCUUGGGAAAUCCAGCAGCUCAACUGUUGGGCUUUCAGGAGAUACUGUCUGGCUCGAGGCCGGGAGAGGUGAGAGGUACUUCAGGGGUAGGGGUGAAAUCUUGUAAUCCUUGAAGGACCACCAGUGGCGAAGGCGUCUCACCAGAACGGACCUGACGGCAAGGGACGAAAGCUAGGGGCACGAACCGGAUUAGAUACCCGGGUAGUCCUAGCCGUAAACGAUACUCGCUAGGUGUCGGCCACGGUGCGACCGUUGUCGGUGCCGUAGGGAAGCCGUGAAGCGAGC